UUUCCGUAGGUGAACCUGCGGAAGGAUCAUUAAAGAGAAUGGAGUUCGCUCCGGGCUUCGGCCUACUCUUCACCCCAUGUUUACUAUCCUGUUUCUUUGGCGGGCCAGGCUUGUCCUACCGACAUGUCGGGUCGUGCUCGCCAAAGGCUUUACACUCUAAUUCUGUCUGACCAACACACCAAUAAACCAAAACUUUCAACAACGGAUCUCUUGGUUCUGGCAUCGAUGAAGAACGCAGC
RNAcentral lists this unclassified non-coding RNA (239 nucleotides) under uncultured fungus. RNAcentral describes it as "sequence contains ITS1, 5.8S rRNA gene". The stretch from base 191 to 239 matches the Rfam family "5.8S ribosomal RNA", at positions 1 to 49 of the family's 154-position model. Lineage: Eukaryota; Fungi. The record is from RNAcentral.